Hyla sarda is the source of this 402-nucleotide long non-coding RNA. RefSeq lists it as uncharacterized. The record is from RefSeq and is a predicted model, not a curated record. The transcript is spliced from 3 exons. Lineage: Eukaryota; Metazoa; Chordata; Amphibia; Anura; Hylidae.
GGGCAACCUUUCCUCUGGACAGGUUUUGAUAAAUCUCUCCCUAUGUGUAAAUCAUGGCUUAUAAAAAAAAGAGCACUAGGAGUCCUCAUACCAUCUAGAACAUAAUCCUGUCCAGCUGCUGCAUCAUCUUUGUCCCAGCUAAAAACAGAAAGGAGGGAGUUAGAAAACAGCCUGAAGUGAUUGGAUAAAGAGACCGAGCACAGCACAGCAGGAAGUAAAUGCAUGGAAAAUAGAAGCUUUGAGGCAAUGACAAUAAAACAAUGAGAAAGAAACACUUAUUAGAAAGGAAGUGCUACAAGAAUACUCAUGUAUAUGAAAGCCUUUCCUUCAAAAGAAUUUGUGAUUUCUUCUUUGCAAAUGUGAUUUUUUGAUGUUGUGUCUGUUCAUUUUCAGCUUUUAUGC